GAGUUUGAUCUUGGCUCAGGACGAACGCUGGCGGCGUGCUUAACACAUGCAAGUCGAGCGAGAAUCUACUGAAAGAGUUUUCGGACAAUGGAAGUAGAGGAAAGUGGCGGACGGGUGAGUAACGCGUGAGGAACCUGCCUUGAAGAGGGGGACAACAGUUGGAAACGACUGCUAAUACCGCAUGAUGCAUAAGGGUCGCAUGAUUCUUAUGCCAAAGAUUUAUCGCUUCAAGAUGGCCUCGCGUCUGAUUAGCUAGUUGGCGGGGUAACGGCCCACCAAGGCGACGAUCAGUAGCCGGACUGAGAGGUUGAACGGCCACAUUGGGACUGAGAUACGGCCCAGACUCCUACGGGAGGCAGCAGUGGGGAAUAUUGGGCAAUGGGCGCAAGCCUGACCCAGCAACGCCGCGUGAAGGAGAAGGCUUUCGGUAUGUAAACUUCUAUCAGCAGGGAAGAAAAUGACGGUACCUGACUAAGAAGCCCCGGCUAACUACGUGCCAGCAGCCGCGGUAAG
This 513-nucleotide ribosomal RNA is filed under the name uncultured microorganism. RNAcentral's name for it is "bacterial SSU rRNA". It matches the Rfam family "Bacterial small subunit ribosomal RNA", at positions 9 to 524 of the family's 1533-position model. The record is from RNAcentral.